GACGAACGCUGGCGGCGUGCCUAACACAUGCAAGUCGAACGGAACUGUUUUGAAAGCUUUCUUCGGAAUGAAUUUGAUUUAGUUUAGUGGCGGACGGGUGAGUAACGCGUGAGUAACCUGCCUUCAAGAGGGGAAUAACAUUCUGAAAAGAAUGCUAAUACCGCAUGACAUAUCGGAACCACAUGGUUUUGAUAUCAAAGAUUUUAUCGCUUGAAGAUGGACUCGCGUCCGAUUAGUUAGUUGGUGAGGUAACGGCUCACCAAGACCGCGAUCGGUAGCCGGACUGAGAGGUUGAACGGCCACAUUGGGGCUGAGACACGGCCCAGACUCCUACGGGAGGCAGCAGUGGGGGAUAUUGCGCAAUGGGGGCAACCCUGACGCAGCAACGCCGCGUGAAGGAUGAAGGUUUUCGGAGUGUAAACUUCUUUUAUUAAGGACGAAAAAUGACGGUACUUAAUGAAUAAGCUCCGGCUAACUACGUG
This 482-nucleotide ribosomal RNA is filed under the name uncultured bacterium. RNAcentral's name for it is "partial 16S ribosomal RNA". It matches the Rfam family "Bacterial small subunit ribosomal RNA", at positions 28 to 507 of the family's 1533-position model. The record is from RNAcentral.